RNAcentral lists this ribosomal RNA (492 nucleotides) under uncultured bacterium. RNAcentral's name for it is "bacterial SSU rRNA". It matches the Rfam family "Bacterial small subunit ribosomal RNA", at positions 29 to 514 of the family's 1533-position model. The record is from RNAcentral.
AUUGAACGCUGGCGGCAUGCUUUACACAUGCAAGUCGAACGGUAACAGGCCGCAAGGUGCUGACGAGUGGCGAACGGGUGAGUAAUGCAUCGGAACGUGCCCAGUCGUGGGGGAUAACGCAGCGAAAGCUGCGCUAAUACCGCAUACGAUCUAUGGAUGAAAGCGGGGGACCGUAAGGCCUCGCGCGAUUGGAGCGGCCGAUGUCAGAUUAGGUAGUUGGUGGGGUAAAAGGCUCACCAAGCCAACGAUCUGUAGCUGGUCUGAGAGGACGACCAGCCACACUGGGACUGAGACACGGCCCAGACUCCUACGGGAGGCAGCAGUGGGGAAUUUUGGGACAAUGGGCGCAAGCCUGAUCCAGCAAAUGCCGCGUGCAGGAAGAAAGGCCUUCGGGUUGUAAACUGCUUUGUACGGAACGAAAAGGACUCUGGUUAAUACCUGGGGCACAUGACGUACCGUAAGAAUAAGCACCGGCUAACUACGUGCCAGCAG